This 460-nucleotide ribosomal RNA is filed under the name uncultured bacterium. RNAcentral's name for it is "partial 16S ribosomal RNA". It matches the Rfam family "Bacterial small subunit ribosomal RNA", at positions 338 to 795 of the family's 1533-position model. The record is from RNAcentral.
CCUACGGGAGGCAGCAGUGAGGAAUAUUGGUCAAUGGACGAGAGUCUGAACCAGCCAAGUAGCGUGAAGGAUGACUGCCCUAUGGGUUGUAAACUUCUUUUAUAUGGGAAUAAAAUGUUCCACGUGUGGGAUUUUGUAUGUACCAUAUGAAUAAGGAUCGGCUAACUCCGUGCCAGCAGCCGCGGUAAUACGGAGGAUCCGAGCGUUGUCCGGAUUUAUUGGGUUUAAAGGGAGCGUAGGUGGAUUGUUAAGUCAGUUGUGAAAGUUUGCGGCUCAACCGUAAAAGUGCAGUUGAAACUGGCAGACUUGAGUACAGUAGAGGUGGGCGGAAUUCGAGGUGUAGCGGUGAAAUGCGUAGAUAUCACGAAGAACUCCGAUUGCGAAGGCAGCUCACUGGACUGCAACUGACACUGAGGCUCGAAAGUGUGGGUAUCAAACAGGAUUAGAUACCCUAGUAGUC